ACCUUCGGGUCGAGUGGCGCACGGGUGAGUAACGCGUGGGAAUCUGCCCUGUGGUACGGAAUAACAUCGGGAAACUGGUGCUAAUACCGUAUAUCCCCUGAGGGGGAAAGAUUUAUCGCCAUGGGAGGAGCCCGCGUAGGAUUAGCUAGUUGGUGAGGUAACGGCUCACCAAGGCGACGAUCCUUAGCUGGUCUGAGAGGAUGAUCAGCCACACUGGGACUGAGAUACGGCCCAGACUCCUACGGGAGGCAGCAGUGGGGAAUAUUGGACAAUGGGGGAAACCCUGAUCCAGCCAUGCCGCGUGUGUGAUGAAGGCCUUCGGGUUGUAAAGCACUUUCGCACGUGACGAUGAUGACGGUAACGUGAGAAGAAGCCCCGGCUAACUUCGUGCCAGCAGCCGCGGUAAUACGAAGGGGGCAAGCGUUGUUCGGAAUUACUGGGCGUAAAGGGCGCGUAGGCGGUGCACUAAGUCAGGCGUGAAAGCCCUGGGCUCAACCCGGGAAUUGCGCUUGAUACUGGUGCGCUUGAAUCCAGGAGAGGUUGGUGGAAUUCCCAGUGUAGAGGUGAAAUUCGUAGAGAUUGGGAAGAACACCGGUGGCGAAGGCGGCCAACUGGACUGGUAUUGACGCUGAGGCGCGAAAGCGUGGGGAGCAAACAGGAUUAGAUACCCUGGUAGUCCACGCUGUAAACGAUGUGUGCUAGCCGUUGGGGUUCUUAGAACCUCGGUGGCGUCGCUAACGCUUUAAGCACACCGCCUGGGGAGUACGGUCGCAAGAUUAAAACUC
RNAcentral lists this ribosomal RNA (785 nucleotides) under uncultured Alphaproteobacteria bacterium. RNAcentral describes it as "bacterial SSU rRNA". It matches the Rfam family "Bacterial small subunit ribosomal RNA", at positions 82 to 902 of the family's 1533-position model. Lineage: Bacteria; Pseudomonadati; Pseudomonadota; Alphaproteobacteria. The record is from RNAcentral.